RNAcentral lists this ribosomal RNA (246 nucleotides) under Cladosporium allicinum. RNAcentral describes it as "partial 28S ribosomal RNA". It matches the Rfam family "Eukaryotic large subunit ribosomal RNA", at positions 1 to 242 of the family's 3401-position model. The record is from RNAcentral. Lineage: Eukaryota; Fungi; Ascomycota; Dothideomycetes; Cladosporiales; Cladosporiaceae.
GUUGACCUCGGAUCAGGUAGGGAUACCCGCUGAACUUAAGCAUAUCAAUAAGCGGAGGAAAAGAAACCAACAGGGAUUGCUCUAGUAACGGCGAGUGAAGCAGCAAUAGCUCAAAUUUGAAAUCUGGCGUCUUCGACGUCCGAGUUGUAAUUUGUAGAGGAUGCUUCUGAGUGGCCACCGACCUAAGUUCCUUGGAACAGGACGUCAUAGAGGGUGAGAAUCCCGUAUGCGGUCGGAAAGGCGCUC